UACGAAGGGUGCAAGCGUUAAUCGGAAUUACUGGGCGUAAAGCGCGCGUAGGUGGUUUGUUAAGUUGGAUGUGAAAGCCCCGGGCUCAACCUGGGAACUGCAUCCAAAACUGGCAAGCUAGAGUAUGGCAGAGGGUGGUGGAAUUUCCUGUGUAGCGGUGAAAUGCGUAGAUAUAGGAAGGAACACCAGUGGCGAAGGCGACCACCUGGGCUAAUACUGACACUGAGGUG
RNAcentral lists this ribosomal RNA (230 nucleotides) under uncultured microorganism. RNAcentral describes it as "partial 16S ribosomal RNA". It matches the Rfam family "Bacterial small subunit ribosomal RNA", at positions 524 to 753 of the family's 1533-position model. The record is from RNAcentral.